RNAcentral lists this unclassified non-coding RNA (256 nucleotides) under uncultured fungus. RNAcentral's name for it is "partial contains small subunit ribosomal RNA, internal transcribed spacer 1, and 5.8S ribosomal RNA". The stretch from base 1 to 73 matches the Rfam family "Eukaryotic small subunit ribosomal RNA", at positions 1759 to 1831 of the family's 1831-position model. Lineage: Eukaryota; Fungi. The record is from RNAcentral.
CCAAACUUGGUCAUUUAGAGGAAGUAAAAGUCGUAACAAGGUCUCCGUUGGUGAACCAGCGGAGGGAUCAUUAACGGGUCGUUCGACUGCCCGAAAACACGCCGUGCAUCGUUCUCGUCCGUCCCGGGGAGCCUUUGGGCUCCUCGUUCCGGAAGACCAGCGCCGAGGCUUCGGCCGAGGCGGAGAAAGCAAAAACAAAACGCAUACAACCCACAACAAUGGAUCUCUUGGCUCUGGCAUCGAUGAAGAACGCAGC